RNAcentral lists this long non-coding RNA (5223 nucleotides) under Salvia miltiorrhiza (redroot sage). RNAcentral describes it as "long non-coding RNA (SMIL_LNC008920)". Lineage: Eukaryota; Viridiplantae; Streptophyta; Magnoliopsida; Lamiales; Lamiaceae. The record is from RNAcentral.
CAAAUAAUCUUUAUAGUAAUAGAACUAGUGUAUCUUGGAGAGCAGAUUUAAAAGGAUUUGAAAUGGCAGAAAGCCAGAAACCAUGGAAAAAUAAAUAAACUAAGUCAAUCUAAUCAAAAUCUCUACAUAACUUGCGCCAUUCAGUCUAAAGCUCCAACAUCUAAAUCAAAUAACAAACUUUGGAGUACAAAAUUGAAUGAAGUUACCAUGAAGCCAAAUUCCCAAAAGAAAGGCUUAGAUGCAAAAAUUGAUCUUCUACUAUUUAGAUUAUUCCUAUUUUGUUAGCAACAUCCAGAGCAUCAUAAUCAGGUGUCAACCUAACAUAUGCCUUCUUAGUUCCAUCCGGCCUGAAACGGAGCAGAUCAUAAAUCAGUUACCAUGAAGCAAAAAAUGAAUUUGAAACCUUGUUUGUUACACAAAGUAGCAUGAACGGAUGAUAGAUUACUUCUAAACAAAGUCAUCUUUCAUGCUAUGACUGCAUUACCCAGCUUCAAGCAAUAGUUCAGAUGCACACGAUAUUAAAAUUUUCAAGCUAAUGUUGUUUAUCACUAAAAAUUCUAGAUGAAACUAUUUCAGACAGUAACAUUGAAAAACCUAAACAUAUUAUGAGACAAAAGUUAAGACACAAUCACAGGCCAACAGUUCAGAUGCAAUCAUGCAACAUGUAAAUUGCAGAAAGAUUGAUGGAAUCACUGUUCACCUGAUAAGGGUGUUCACUUUCUUCGUCUGGAUGUCAUACAUUUUCUUGACAGCGGCUUUGAUCUUUUUCUUAUCAGCACGAAUGUCAACAAUGAAAACUAGUGUGUUGUUGUCUUCAAUUUUCUUCAUUGCAGACUCUGUGGUGAGAGGGUAUUUAAGAAUCUGGUAGUGGUCAAGUUUGUUGCGAGGAACAGCACUAAUGCGAGGAUACUUGGGAUUCCUCUCCUUUGUCAAUGUCUUCGGCCGAUAGAAGGUAACUUUAGUGCGUAUUUUCUUGGCCUUCUUCUUAAAGGUUGUUGCACCUGCUUUUACAGCCUUGGCCGCCUUUAAGGCUUGAGCCUUGGCAUCUGACUUCUUACCUGCAUCACCUGUAGAUAUACAAGCAAAAGUGAAAAUUAGCAAACAAACAAAAGAAGGGGCUAGAUUUCCAUAACAAUAAAGCAACCUCGUACCCCAAAUCAGAAGUGCCCAUCAACAACGGUAAGUAAUGGCUAAAACCAAUUGGGAAAUGAGAAUAUAAUGAUUACCAACCCAAAUUGAAUGAGAGAAAAGUUGGAUGAGAGAUAGUUACAGUUUUAAUAUCAUGAUAAUUUCUAGUUUAGCAAGAAACCCAAUGAUAAACCAGAAACAACCACGUAGAUGGAUACAUAUAUGCCAUGUUAAAGUGUGUUUUAUAUAAAUAUCAUAAAUAAAUGAUAACUCUAACCACUGUAGGACAGGGGUCUCACAAUAUUGUAUCAAGGUUUAAUCAUGGAUGAAAAUGCAAUUCUAAGUCAACCUCACAAUGCAGCCAAACAAAAUAUUGAUUUCGUUCUCACAUAUUAUCGGACAAAUUCCUGAAAUAUCUAUUAAUCUACUCUUCAAGCAACAGCUCAUUCAAAUAGCAUUCACCCCAAAUUUUGAUUAUUAGAAUUGCAGUUUGUAGCUGUUUUCCCGAAAUUGUAAUAAGCAAUUCAGAAUUUCUACCACAAAGACAGCAAUAUUCUGAAAAUCUGAAACCUAAAUAGAAAAACUAUCGUACCUUUAGCUGGAGCCAUUUGAGACGGAAGUAACCCUAAUGCAACUUUUUACCUGUACAAACAUACAAAUUAGAUAACCCAAUAGCUAUAACUCAACCCUUUCCGGGGACAUUUCACAUCUAGGUAAAUCCAUUGAGCUAAACUCAUAUUCAAAUUCGCAGGUCACAAGUAGAAAUUUGUAACAAAGAAAUUCACUUUCCCGUUUCAAGCGACUUCAAUUGACACAACUUUAACAAAGAAAAUCCAAAAGGCCAGCAAGCAGACAUACAAGUUUGUGCAUUUUCUCCAGAAAAAUGGGGGGGAAAACUAUUUAAUACGAUUCAAUGACAAAUUGAGGAUAUCGGCAUUUAAUAAACGGUGAAGAAGAACGCAAUAGAGCGAUGACUAAACUAAGAAACAACAAAAAAGUGGAGCAAGGGAUUACCUUGACGGAGGCGGUUGAGAGAUGCAGAGUGAAGAAUGGAAAAGACGUUGCUUACUUUCUUCACCGCGGAUGAGGGUGACGAGAUGGUGUGCGGCGUGGGCUGAAUGGGGGGACAAGUAGCUAAUUAGGGUUAGAGUUUUCUUUUCCUCUUAUAUACUAUUCACUGCCUGCACAAAGUGAAAUCUUAAUGAAAGUUGGCAUGAAUUAUAAGUAAAGUUACUUGUUUAUGGAGUGAGGAGAUCAAAAGUUCCACAAAUUAAAACGGAUGGAGAAAAUUAGGGAGAGAAAUGAUCCACAUCUUUUAUGGAUUAAUGAAUUAUAAUAUGUGUAAAUAUGUUGGAGAAAAUUAGGGAGAGAAAUGAUCCACAUCUUUUAUGGAUUAAUGAAUUAUAUAAUAUGUGUAAAUAUGUAACAAUUUUAAAAGUAAUAGUAGUGAGAUUAUAUGCACAAAAAAAAAUUAUUCUCUCCGUACCACCGAACUUGAAUCUUAUUCCUAUUCGGGUUGUCCCGCCGAACUUGAGUCAUUUCCUUUUUUAGCAAAAAUUAGGUAAUUUAAAAGCAUUCACAGCAUAUCUCUUAAAAUUUUACUCCUAAAAAUACUCCUAAAGUAUUCUCUAAAUUAUUUUUAACCCCUUUUUUUGUACGGAUUAAGAAACUUACUUAUGAGGGGGAAAAUGAUAUGGUUCACACCAAUUAAGCAUGUAAUGAAUAUUGUUAAUCUCUCAAAAUAGAAAAAACGGGCCUAUUCUAGUGGAGCAUCCCAAAAUAGAAAACGAGUCUAUUCUAAUAGAACAUAAGGAAUAUUAAAUUUAAUAUUAUACAUUUCUCUUUUGGCUAUAAAUUUAUCAUGAAAAAAAAUUCAUCCCUUAAUUCUCUCAUUUGAUUUCUUCAAUUUCUACCAAAAAAAAUAUUAAGUACUAUUUUACAUUCCUCAUUUUCAGUUCAAUGAAGGAUAAUAUUAUCACAUUAAAAAAAAUAGUCAUAUUUUAUAUAUUGUUAUAAUUGUGACUAUUUUAAUCUUCCUUGUAUCAAAAUAGUUGAUUCUAUAUAUUAACCCUUCAAAAUGUAUGGAUCCUACACUUUUAAAUAAACAUUAAUAAAGUUGUUUAAUUAAUGUUUCUUGUUUGUCUAAAAUGGUGGCGGAGCGAUGAGGGUGGAAGGGGGUGGAACGGGGGCAGCACGCGGAGCAAGAGACCUAGGUGAGGUCGCUGUCAGUCGGCAUUAAGGAGGACGAGGUACUGGCCGAAGCCGAAGGAGGUAGCUAAACUUGAUGCUAAUCGGACCAGAAUCGAUCGAUUUUGUUGGUUCGAGGCGGUUUAGGUCCGCUUAUUGAUCCGAUCCGAUUCUUUUUUGAUGGACCAAUAGAUUAUCGGUACGGUUUCGGUUCUGGGGAGGCCAAACCCGAUGAAAACUGAAUCGAAUAUAUAUAUUAAAUAUAUAUUUUAUAUUUUUAUUAAUAUUAAUAAUAUUUUAAUUAAUUUCUAAAAUCAAAUAUUUUGAAUUUUGAAUUGAAAUAUUAAUUUCUAAAAUCAAAUAGACUUGAUUAUGGACUUUGUAGCUUUUUAUUGGAGUUAGUUUAUAGAUUUUAUUUUAUGGAUUUUUGGUGUAUUGAAUUAUUAUUGUUAAAUAAGUUAAAAUAUGUUUAAAAAUGUGUUUUUUUUUUGUUUUUUCGCAAAUUACCAAAAAUAGUCAGUUUUGGACCGAACCGGACCGAGAUCCGAUGGCGGUUUCGGUUCGGUCCUAGUGUUUCAGUUGGUUCGGUCCAUAAAAUAUUGUUUCGUCAAUCCUUGAUUUCGUCAGUUCGGUCCGGUCCGGACCGACUACUUACCCCUACUUGAUGCACCAAGGUCCUCCAAGUGGAAGCCCCUUAUUAAUGUGAGCAAAUUUCAAUUUGUUGGGCUUAAUACAGCAAAAUUCUUUUUAUUUCAGAUUUGAACCACUUUUAUUGAGACGGAUGAAAUACAUAUUUUCAAUCAACUUCGGCAAAGUCUUUCCAACAAUAAAUUUUCGAUUUUUUUUCAAGCAUGCUGCCAUUUGUUGCAGCAAAGUUGGACGUCUUUCACCCUUUUUUUCUUGGGUAUAGUAAAUGAAGGAACUUUUAAUGAGGUUAAUUUGAAGUUCAAAGUCUACCAUUUAUGCUCAUCGGAUGCCCUAAUUGAAGAUCUGGAAUCGGGAUUAGAUUAAGAAAUAACAGAAACUAGAACAGGAGUGAAGGAGAAGAAAUGAGUGAUGUUUACCCACGAAAGGUAGGAGGUGCACAUUUUUUGAUUGACGAAGAAUAGAAUGCCCUAAACCGAGUCUACCUAAUAAGUCUAGCAGUUUCAAGAAUAUCGAUGAGCCAAACAUUCUCUUAUGCCUCGUUGAUCCGUGGUUUCAAGGAAGGAAGAUUUGAUGAAGUUUUACGAUCAAUGCGCAAGGGAAAUGUGGUUUAUUGGAACACCAUGAUAAGCCAAACAGAAAAGAACGAAGACACUGUGAAUCUUUUGAGGGGACGUAGGAGGAGUUGUGGGAGAUAGGGUAGAGGAAAUGAACUGUAGAUUACCAAACAAUGAAAAUAUUCUUAGUAAUGGCUAGACAUUUGCAGUAAAUUUAUGUUGAUUACACUACCCAACAUGUUCUUUUUUUGAAGGGGCACUACCUAACAUGUUCGAUAAUAGGAAAAAGAUAUGCAAAUAAUCUUUAUAGUAAUAGAACUAGUGUAUCUUGGAGAGCAGAUUUAAAAGGAUUUGAAAUGGCAGAAAGCCAGAAACCAUGGAAAAAUAAAUAAACUAAGUACAAUCUAAAUCAAAAAUCUACUACAUAAACUUGCGCCAUUCAGUCUAAAGCUCCAACAUCUAAAUCAAAUAACAAACUUUGGAGUACAAAAUUGAAUGAAGUUACCAUGAAGCCAAAUUCCCAAAAGAAAGGCUUAGAUGCAAAAAUUGAUCUUCUACUAUUUAGAUUAUUCCUAUUUUGUUAGCAACAUCCAGAGCAUCAUAAUCAGGUGUCAACCUAACAUAUGCCUUCUUAGUUCCAUCCGGCCUGAAACGGAGCAGAUCAUAAAUCAGUUACCAUGAAGCAAAAAAUGAAUUUGAAACCUUG